This is a non-coding RNA of Pimephales promelas (fathead minnow), 117 nucleotides long. The record is from RefSeq and is a predicted model, not a curated record. NCBI's taxonomy places the organism in Eukaryota, Metazoa, Chordata, Actinopteri, Cypriniformes, Leuciscidae.
CAGCUCGAGUUUCUCUUCAUUCACGCAUAAAUCUUUCGCCUUUUACUUAAGAUUUCCGUUGAGGGGAGCAUAAACAUGCAUAAAACAAACUAUAACAAACGCUUUCUUGAAAGUAAA